UAAUGUAAAUCCAUGUAGAAAUACACAACGUGAGAAGAUUAUGAGUAAAGGAAAAGUAAUUAAAGUGUUAAUUAUUGAUUAGUGUUAAUCUAAACAAAUCUAAGAAGCAUCUUUGACUCGGAAAACUUUAGUAAAUUAACAAUGAUGUUUGAUUAAGAAAUCUACAGUUGCAUGUUUUCUUUUGCCUUCUUGAUGACUGGAAUUGAAAGAAAACUGUUGCUUUAUUGAGAUGGCUUGAAUCAAAUAUUGGAUAGUUUCCAUUACAGCAUUUCUUUCACUUUUAAUAGUUAACGUUGAAAAUUUGGAAACCUUGGUCUGAACCACCCCAACUGCCAGCUGACAGUUUAAAGACUCAUGCUAGCUUGGAACUGGCACAUUAUGAGUCAACAGAUUCUGGUUUUUAUUACUGAUUCAUGCCUAUUGAAAAAGAAAUGGGAAAAAGAACAAUCUGGAACUCAACUUUUCUUCUUUUCUUUAUUACUGAUGUUGAAAAUACAUUUAUGAGGUAAGAAAUUGCUAAAAUCUUAGGUAAAGAAAGAGUUAACACUUCAAUACUGUUUUAGACAGUUAUGUCCUAUGUUGCUAGAACUGGGAUAUGAGAAAUUUUUAGCUGAAGAUCUUUCUGCAUUAAACAAAAAUCAGGCCAUUCAUGGACAUCUUCAUAUUUUUUCAGUGUUUACAGGUCGUACAUUUCUAACGUUGAACUGUGGGAUUACAAACAAUUUACCUCCAACAAGAGAAAGACAGAAGCAACUUUUCAACGGUAUGUGUUCAUGUUUCCUAAGCUAUCCUUUUUCUUUCAUAGAGCUAAACACAAAGUACAGUCAGUGCUUUCUAGAUGAUAUUUCAGUCCCUUGAAAGUUUCUAUUGCCAAGAACGAAACUUCUGUACAUUCUGGAGAAAACAAGUAACUUCCUGUUGUAAGAAUAAUUAGUUUAAUCCAUUAUUAUGAUUGCUAGAACUUGGUUGUAAACUCCACAUUCUCCUCUGCUCCUCAAAGCUUCCUAUGACUGCAGAUUGCUUCUUAACUCCCAAUUGCUUUGCAAAAAGAUCAUAAUAUGCUACAGGGUCUACACUUUCCAAUAUUUUCACUAAUUUUCCUUGUUUUUCAUCCACCACAAUUUGUCCAUCUUUGGAUUCAACACCUUCAGCCAGGACCUUAAUGGGCUUCAUUCGCGAGAUUGGAUUCAGCAAGGAGUCCCCAGCCAAGACUACUGCACCAAGAAUUUCCCCCAAGAAUGUGUCCUGCAGAAUAACAUCAUUCUGUAAUAGCAGGAAAAGCAGCAAGCAGGAAAAGCCAAGAAUCAAGAUAUUCAUUGAUGAUAAGACAUGUUACUAACAGAACUUAGUUUAGUUG
Molecule: long non-coding RNA, 1357 nt
Filed under: Manihot esculenta (cassava)
Lineage: Eukaryota; Viridiplantae; Streptophyta; Magnoliopsida; Malpighiales; Euphorbiaceae
Description: long non-coding RNA (MESC_LNC001908)
Source: RNAcentral